Molecule: ribosomal RNA, 505 nt
Filed under: uncultured bacterium
Lineage: Bacteria
Description: partial 16S ribosomal RNA
Rfam family: Bacterial small subunit ribosomal RNA
Source: RNAcentral
GACGAACGCUGGCGGCGUGCCUAGUACAUGCAAGUAGAACGCACAGUUUAUACCGUAGCUUGCUACACCAUAGACUGUGAGUUGCGAACGGGUGAGUAACGCGUAGGUAACCUGCCUGGUAGCGGGGGAUAACUAUUGGAAACGAUAGCUAAUACCGCAUAAUAUUAAUUAUUGCAUGAUAAUUAAUUGAAAGGUGCAAUUGCACCACUACCAGAUGGACCUGCGUUGUAUUAGCUAGUAGGUGAGGUAACGGCUCACCUAGGCGACGAUACAUAGCCGACCUGAGAGGGUGAUCGGCCACACUGGGACUGAGACACGGCCCAGACUCCUACGGGAGGCAGCAGUAGGGAAUCUUCGGCAAUGGACGAAAGUCUGACCGAGCAACGCCGCGUGAGUGAAGAAGGGUUUCGGAUCGUAAAGCUCUGUUGUAAGAGAAGAACGGGUGUGAGAGUGGAAAGUUCACACUGUGACGGUAGCUUACCAGAAAGGGACGGCUAACUACGUG